GGAAGGGUGGCAGAGCGGUUUAAUGCGCUGGCCCGAUAAGCCAGAGGUCCUUCUUGGACCCAGGGGUUCGAAUCCCCUUCCUUGGA
RNAcentral lists this transfer RNA (86 nucleotides) under Bacteroidales bacterium. RNAcentral describes it as "tRNA-Ile". It matches the Rfam family "tRNA". Rfam says of the family: Transfer RNA (tRNA) molecules are approximately 80 nucleotides in length. Their secondary structure includes four short double-helical elements and three loops (D, anti-codon, and T loops). Lineage: Bacteria; Pseudomonadati; Bacteroidota; Bacteroidia; Bacteroidales. The record is from RNAcentral.